GCCUUUACGGUCUAGCUCGUUCGUAAUGCAUUAGCAUCCGCAAUCGAACUUCGGAUUGACUUGGCGUAAUAGACUAUUCGCUGAGGAAUUCUAGUCUUCGGAUUAGAGCCGGGUUGGGUUAAAGGAAGCUUCUAAUCAGAAUGUCUACAUUUUAAGAUUAGAUCUCAAAUCAGGUAGGACUACCCGCUGAACUUAAGCAUAUCAAUAAGCGGAGGAAAAGAAACUAACAAGGAUUCCCCUAGUAGCGGCGAGCGAAGCGGGAAGAGCUCAAAUUUAUAAUCUGGCACCUUCGGUGUCCGAGUUGUAAUCUCUAGAAAUGUUUUCCGCGCUGGACCGCACACAAGUCUGUUGGAAUACAGCGGCAUAGUGGUGAGACCCCCGUAUAUGGUGCGGACGCCCAGCGCUUUGUGAUACAUUUUCGAAGAGUCGAGUUGUUUGGGAAUGCAGCUCAAAUUGGGUGGUAAAUUCCAUCUAAAGCUAAAUAUUGGCGAGAGACCGAUAGCGAACAAGUACCGUGAGGGAAAGAUGAAAAGCACUUUGGAAAGAGAGUUAACAGUACGUGAAAUUGUUGGAAGGGAAACGCUUGAAGUCAGACUUGCUUGCCGAGCAAUCGGUUUGCAGGCCAGCAUCAGUUUUCCGGGAUGGAUAAUGGUAGAGAGAAGGUAGCAGUUUCGGCUGUGUUAUAGCUCUCUGCUGGA
RNAcentral lists this ribosomal RNA (698 nucleotides) under Rhodotorula mucilaginosa. Its description in RNAcentral is "eukaryotic LSU rRNA". The stretch from base 160 to 698 matches the Rfam family "Eukaryotic large subunit ribosomal RNA", at positions 1 to 535 of the family's 3401-position model. Lineage: Eukaryota; Fungi; Basidiomycota; Microbotryomycetes; Sporidiobolales; Sporidiobolaceae. The record is from RNAcentral.